Molecule: long non-coding RNA, 2528 nt
Filed under: Homo sapiens (human)
Lineage: Eukaryota; Metazoa; Chordata; Mammalia; Primates; Hominidae
Description: non-protein coding lnc-FAM49A-5:3
Source: RNAcentral
CUGCCGGCUACUUUCCAAGAAGCAAUGAGACCUGCUUGGAAUUCUUAGUGGGAUUAUCUGGAAGUUGCUGGCAGAGGGGGUUGGGUGCUGGAGGAAGGAACAGGCAGAGAGAUCACGUGUCUCAGCCCUGUUCUGCAUUUCUUUCUUCUCUCCCUCUGUCUUUAGCUCCUUCAUUCUAUCCCUCCUUGGAAGAUGAAUAGCCACUUUGUAAACUGAAUUCCAUUUUACUGGGAUCUGUUUUGCAGGGAGACAGCAUUGCAUGGCGCUGACGUUGCCGCCAGGCUGUGCGGAGUCGAAUUCUUCACCACAUGCUGGCUGUGUGGGCUUAAACUCUUCGUGUCUCAGUUCCUUGACAGUAAAGGAGUGGAAUUGAGCAGUGUGAAAAUGAACCAAUACAAGUCCCGGCCAUCAUCUGAUCUAUUCUGAGGGAUCGGGGUUACCUGAGGGAUUGGGAGAUUCCUGAUGCUUUCACCAAGAGACUUGUUUCCAUCACUGUAAGAUGGGGUUGAUGAUCCCCACCAGGAAACUGUAAGCCCUGAAUGAAACGAGUUCUGCUAAGAUUUUUGGAACCUGAGAAACACCAUACAAUGUAAGAUGCUUAUACAUCGUCUGGCCAAGAAUUCUUUUUUGACUUUAGUGCAACAAUAAAGGACUCCAGCCAGGCGUGGUGGCUCACACCUGUAAUCCCAGCACUUUGGGAGGCCAAGGCAGGCAGACCAUGAGGUCAAGAGUUCAAGACCAGCGUGGCCAACAUGGUGAAACCCCGUUUCUACUAAAAAUACAAAAAUGAGCCAGGCACAGUGGUGUGUACCUGUAAUCCCAGCUACUCAAGAGGCUAAGGCAGGAGAAUCACUUGAACCUGGGAAGCACAGGUUGCAGUGAGCCGAGAUCGCACCACUGCACUCUAGCCUGGGCAACAGAACGAGACACGGUCUCAAAAAAUAAAUAAAUAAAUAAAUAAAGGAAUCCUGAUUGAAAUUACCAGUAUGUCGUGAAAUAAGGAGCCUGCAUUAGAAUAUUAAACAACGCCCUGCUUCUUUCAUCGAGACAGUCUUGUUAUCAAAACAAAACAAAAAACCGCUGAGCUAAACAGCAUGCUUAGUGAGUAGCAGUACACUGACUGUAUUAGCCCUUCCAUGACUACAUGAUAGGAUUUCAAUGACAUUCUUAUCCUACUUGCAAAAUAAACAAGGAUCCAGGAAAUUGAUUAAAUUCAGGAUUCACCCAGAUGGGGCCACUGUCUCUUCUAAUUACUCAACAGGUCUUUACAGGGGGCCUACUAGAGCCCAGCCCAGUGGUCCCUGCCCAGGACCCUCCAAAUCAAAUGGGGAGACAAGACAUAAGCAAGGAACAUCACAAGAAGGCUAGGCACUAGGCAGUCCUACACAGAACAGAAUUGCAGAGAAGUCCAUGGAGUCAAGUGUCUCUGAGACAGAGCAAAUGGGGAAGGCUUCCUCAUGAGGAGGUGGCAUUUUCACCAGGGUUGAUGAAGUUAACCUGCAUUAAGUAAAAUUUAGAAAGUUCUAGGAACACAGAGCCUUAUACACAGUGUUCUUGUGCUCCUUUCUUAGUAAUCUAGAAAUGGGUUCUGGUGCUCAUGGGUGAGAUACUGGCCAGUUCUCUCAGGCAGAUAAUCCAGACUUCUUGCAUAUAGCUAGAUUCCUGUGAACACUUUGAUGCAUUUGUAUUAGAAAGAAAACAUCCAAGUCACAAAUAGCAUCUAUGCAGGGAGAACUCUUACACCUUUUCCUUUCCCUGCAGAGACCAGUGACCUAUUGAAGUGGUGCCUCUGGCUCAGUCGGCCUCAGUCUUCCGCUGGGACUCAGACCUGCUCCGGAAGUAAAAAAUGUUCCUGAUAUGUCAUCAACUCUGUCCUCUUUGUGCUUAAUUUGCAUUGACAACUGAAAAGUUAAGCAGAUGCAUCAUUGGGCCUCCUUGUUCAUUUUUUGCACUUCACUGUAAAAAACAAGAAAUGAUUAUAGAAAAAUGUAUAUAUCUGCUGGAAAACUCCUUUCUCCCCUCUUCCAGAAAGAAACAGAGAAAUAUUUACUUUAAGGAAUUGCUCAUGACUGUGGAUACUUGCAAAUCUGAAAUUUGCGGGAGAGGCGGGCAGGCUGGAGACCCUGGGAAGUGUUGAUGUUGCAGUCUUCAGUCCAAAGACAGCUGAAAUUGAAUCCACCUUUGGAUUCAUCUUCAUGAGGAUUUCUUCAUCUUCGAGGGACCUCAGUGUUUUCUCUUAAGACCUUCCACCUGAGGUUGGUGUUGCACUUCUCAUGGUGAUGGGCAGGUUCUCACAGGCUCCUCACAGCACGCCAUGCGGGUGGCAGACAAGGAGAGGACCCUUCUGCCCGUCUGCUCAUCUUGCAGGUGGGAAGUCUGAGCCAUGGGUUGUUCUGAGCAGCAUCCUGAGCUUCUCUCCUGUCUCUACCUCCACACCCCGAAGGUAGGCGCCAGACAUGCUGGUUGCUCCCAAAACCAGGGCCAGCAGCUUCUUGCAAAGUCAGAGGCACACUUGUUGGCUUGUCGAU